AUACCUCAUCUAGUCUUAACGAGCUUUGAUGCAUGGAAAA
This 40-nucleotide small RNA is filed under the name Arabidopsis thaliana (thale cress). RNAcentral's name for it is "ATSL274860". Lineage: Eukaryota; Viridiplantae; Streptophyta; Magnoliopsida; Brassicales; Brassicaceae. The record is from RNAcentral.